RNAcentral lists this unclassified non-coding RNA (1044 nucleotides) under Hevea brasiliensis (rubber tree). Lineage: Eukaryota; Viridiplantae; Streptophyta; Magnoliopsida; Malpighiales; Euphorbiaceae. The record is from RNAcentral.
AUAAACAAUUAACCAAUUAAUUCACAUUCUACUUUCUUUAACCAAAAAUUAAACCAAUUUUUUUUUGGAAAAAAACAUUUAAUAAUAACGGGAAUAAUUAAUUCCAACAUCAAAACGUUGUGUAUCCCCCAAGCUAAACAUCAAACUAUAAACAGAUCUGAUUUUCCCAUUUUACCCUUCCCCUAAACUAUAAAGGUGAAAUUACAACAAAGUCCCUAAUAAUACUACUAACUUCAUUAGCAUUACAUUCCUGAUUCAAGGGUAGGAAAGUCACAAAAAGAGUCAAAACCAUAGCCACCGUCAACCACCACCGCAGACGGCUGAUGUACGGCGGCGACCCUCCCGGCCACCGCCGGUGGUGGGUGCAUGAACGAUGAAGUGGGGUCCAGUAGAAAAGCUGACGUGUCCAAAGUAGGCAAACAGCUCACCGGCUGUACCCGGUCAACCUGUCUCCUCGGCUCCGGCUUCAAAAUAGAAGAAACCGAAAACUGUCCGUUCCCGGUCCCGUUACCGGAGAUUCUAGCUCCGGUCACCUGCUGCACCAUCUGCCGGAAACUAUCAACGUCCGCCGUUAUGUAUGUAGUCGACGCGCGCUUCGAAGCGCGUGGCUUACGCUUCACGAUUUUUUUGCUAACUCCACCACCACCACCACUCCGCCGUUUCAUCGAACCGGAAGCUCCAGUUGAAGCAGCAUCGUUCUCCGACCCACCGGAAAACGUCGGCCCAGAUGCACUCGCAGUUAAAAACGGGGAACCCAUUUCUCCAGUAGGCAUAACAUCCUCAUUCCCUUCGCCGGUAUACGAUUUCUGCAGAACUUUCGUUAAAGUUUCAGUUUCUUUAGCGAAGAUAUCAGUAAACCAUGAAUCGUUAAACGCAGAACGAAAACCCCAUUGUUCCAUUGUCAUGAAAUUAUCAGAAGACGCCAUUUUUGCUUCUCCAGAGCUCAAAAAUUAACCAAAUUAACUGUUUUUUAGGUCAAAAUUGAUGUUUACAGCAUGUUUUAGAAAGACCCAGAUGAUGUUUUUGAGGAUUUUAGAAUGAAAA